AGCUUCCGGAGCAGCUGGGACUGCUGGCGCCCGCCACUACGCUCGGCUAAUUUUUUUGUGUUUUUAGUAGAGACGGGCUUUCACCGUGUUGGCCUAGCGGUUCUCCAACUCCUGACCUCAUGAUCCCCCCGCCUCAGCCUCCCAAAGUGCUGGGAUUACAAGCGUGAGCCACCGCGACCCGCCAACACUCUUGACAACAGUGCUGUGCUAAGAACUUGGGGGACUUCAAAAAGUUCACCAGUUCCUGUGUCCAUGGGUGAAAAGAUUUUCUACAUCUUUCCUUGACUAGAAACAGAAGUCCUGAAACAAGAAUAUAACGUCAGGAGGCCAGAGGCUUUGUCCUGCCUAAUGUGUUAUUUCCACACUGAAUAAAAGCACCUGAGUCCUGGUCUCAGAGUGAGAACAAUGUCUUCUAUGAUGAGUGGCAAACACAACAAGGCAUUUUAAAAAGGUUGUACAUCUAGCAAUACCUAACAAAAUAGGAAAUCAACUUGUGUCAUUGCAAGAGCAGUUUAGACAAGGCUACAAAUCUACAAGAUGACAUCAGUUAAUACAGUGAAGACAGCUGGAAAUGCAGAGCAUUCAUACAGGAGGCAAUGUAUUGUAAUGGAGAUUUCCGUUUCAUUUCUCAGCAGAGAGCAGCCACUGUCUUUUGUGUUUGGAUAGACAUAUGGAUAUAAGAAAAAUUAUAGAAUAGGAUAGAAGACAUAGUAAUCUAAUGAGUGUUCUGACUGAAUGUUCUAACCUAUGAAAUUAUCAGUCCAAAACUACAUGUUCAGAACUUACGUGCAACAUUAUCUUGCGUUAUAUUAGUAAGUACAUUAAAGGAAAUAGUGGGAAGAAUAAAAUU
Molecule: long non-coding RNA, 850 nt
Filed under: Homo sapiens (human)
Lineage: Eukaryota; Metazoa; Chordata; Mammalia; Primates; Hominidae
Description: HSALNT0376102
Source: RNAcentral